CCCCCCCCAAAAGACUCUCCAAGCUUUACACCGCUAAAGACCAAACAGCCUCUUUCUGAGCACCCAAGUGAUGGCAAAAAAGAGAGAAACAUACGUAGGCGAUUACUUAUGGAUAGAGCUUCAACUGAUGCAAAUUUAGACAAGCAUGAUGAUUCUCUUGAUGAUAACCUGGAAGAUUCUUUGGGUGAUGCUACUGCUAGGUCUCUCACUGGUUCCGAUGGUGAUGGUGGUUCCGAUGCUGAUGCUGGCGCUGAUUCAGCCUAGGCAGUCUUACUUGUUUUCCUAAAGAAAAAAAACAAACAUCAGGUGCCGGUUGUUCUUUUUUGGUGUUAAUAUCACUAGCGCAAGACCAUCCAGCUCAGAAAUAUAGCCUGUUGGCAUCCUGGUUGUAAAUAUGAAGUUAAUGGCCAGCACCAUCAUUUUGAUGUAAACAUGGCUCUAACCUGAAAACUGUUCACCCUUAGCCUUUGUAUAUAUAACUACUGUAACCAUUAGGAUCCUGGUUACGUAGCCUGCUGUUUCUAUAAUAUGAUUCACUGUCACUUUGCUACACUUUGCAU
Phragmites australis (common reed) is the source of this 560-nucleotide long non-coding RNA. RefSeq lists it as uncharacterized. NCBI's taxonomy places the organism in Eukaryota, Viridiplantae, Streptophyta, Magnoliopsida, Poales, Poaceae. The record is from RefSeq and is a predicted model, not a curated record. The transcript is spliced from 5 exons.